This 830-nucleotide ribosomal RNA is filed under the name uncultured bacterium. RNAcentral's name for it is "bacterial SSU rRNA". It matches the Rfam family "Bacterial small subunit ribosomal RNA", at positions 8 to 813 of the family's 1533-position model. The record is from RNAcentral.
AGAGUUUGAUCCUGGCUCAGAGCGAACGUUUGCGGCAGGCCUAACACAUGCAAGUCGCACGAGAAAAGGGCUUCGGCCCCCAGUAAAGUGGCGGACGGGUGAGUAACACGUGGGUAAUGUACCCCUCGGCGGGGGAUAACAACCCGAAAGGGUUGCUAAUACCGCAUAUGUCGAGAGAUUUUUCAUAGUCUCUCGAGAAGGGUGGCCUCUUCAUGAAAGCUACCACCGAAGGAUCAGCCCGCGGCCCAUCAGCUAGUUGGCGGGGUAAUAGAACCACCAAGGCAAAAGACGGGUAGCUGGUCUGAGAGGAAGAUCAGCCACACUGGAACUGAGACACGGUCCAGACUCCUUCGGGAGGCAGCAGUGGGGAAUAUUGGGCAAUGGGCGAAAGCCUGACCCAGCCAUGCCGCGUGAGUGAUGAAGGCCUUCGGGUCGUAAAGCUCUGUGGGGAGGGAAGAAAAUACCUUGGCUAAUAUCCAAGGGAACUGACGGUACCUCCUUAGCAAGCACCGGCUAACUCCGUGCCAGCAGCCGCGGUAAUACGGAGGGUGCAAACGUUGCUCGGAAUCAUUGGGCGUAAAGCGCACGUAGGCGGUUCGUUAAGUCGGAUGUGAAAGCCCUGGGCUCAACCCAGGAAGAGCAUUCGAAACUGGCGGACUGGAGUAUGGAAGAGGGUCGCGGAAUUCCCGGUGUAGAGGUGAAAUUCGUAGAUAUCGGGAGGAACACCAGUGGCGAAGGCGGCGACCUGGGCCAAUACUGACGCUGAGGUGCGAAAGCGUGGGGAGCAAACAAGAUUAGAUACCCUGGUAGUCCACGCCGUAAACGAUGGA